This 377-nucleotide unclassified non-coding RNA is filed under the name plant metagenome. RNAcentral's name for it is "partial contains 5.8S ribosomal RNA, internal transcribed spacer 2, and large subunit ribosomal RNA". The stretch from base 1 to 105 matches the Rfam family "5.8S ribosomal RNA", at positions 50 to 154 of the family's 154-position model. The record is from RNAcentral.
GAAAUGCGAUAAGUAAUGUGAAUUGCAGAAUUCAGUGAAUCAUCGAAUCUUUGAACGCACCUUGCGCUCCUUGGUAUUCCUUGGAGCAUGCCUGUUUGAGUAUCAUGAAAUCUUCAAAGUAAAUCUUUUGUUAACUCAAUUGGUUUCUACUUUGGUAUUGGAGGUCUUUGCAGCUUCACACCUGCUCCUCUUUGUUCAUUAGCUGGAUCUCAGUGUUAUGCUUGGUUCCACUCGGCGUGAUAAGUUAUCUAUCGCUGAGGACACUGUAAAAGGUGGCCAAGGUAAAUGCAGAUGAACCGCUUCUAAUAGUCCAUUGACUUGGACAAUACUUUUAUGAUCUGAUCUCAAGUCAGGUAGGAUACCCGCUGAACUUAAGC